This 519-nucleotide ribosomal RNA is filed under the name uncultured bacterium. RNAcentral describes it as "bacterial SSU rRNA". It matches the Rfam family "Bacterial small subunit ribosomal RNA", at positions 501 to 1016 of the family's 1533-position model. The record is from RNAcentral.
CUACGUGCCAGCAGCCGCGGUAAUACGUAGGGCGCGAGCGUUGUCCGGAAUUAUUGGGCGUAAAGAGCUUGUAGGCGGUUUGUCGCGUCUGCUGUGAAAGGCCGGAGCUUAACUCCGUGUAUUGCAGUGGGUACGGGCAGACUAGAGUGCAGUAGGGGAGACUGGAAUUCCUGGUGUAGCGGUGGAAUGCGCAGAUAUCAGGAAGAACACCGAUGGCGAAGGCAGGUCUCUGGGCUGUAACUGACGCUGAGAAGCGAAAGCAUGGGGAGCGAACAGGAUUAGAUACCCUGGUAGUCCACGCCGUAAACGAUGAGUGCUAGGUGUUAGGCCCUUUCCGGGGCUUAGUGCCGCAGCUAACGCAUUAAGCACUCCGCCUGGGGAGUACGACCGCAAGGUUGAAACUCAAAGGAAUUGACGGGGGCCCGCACAAGCGGUGGAGCAUGUGGUUUAAUUCGAAGCAACGCGAAGAACCUUACCAGGUCUUGACAUCCCUCUGACCGCUCUAGAGAUAGAGUUUUC